Small nuclear RNA from Pipistrellus kuhlii (Kuhl's pipistrelle), 188 nucleotides. RefSeq annotates it as U2 spliceosomal RNA. The record is from RefSeq and is a predicted model, not a curated record. NCBI's taxonomy places the organism in Eukaryota, Metazoa, Chordata, Mammalia, Chiroptera, Vespertilionidae. The transcript has a single exon.
AUGGCUUCGUGACUUUUUGGAAAAGAUCAAGCAUAAGUAUCUGUUCUUAUCAGUUUAAGUUCUGAUAAAUUAUCUCAGGACAACAUAUUAAGUGUAUUUUUGGAGCAGGGAGAUGGAAUAGGAACUGCUCUGUCCACAUUGUAUUUCGACUAGAUUUUAUAUUACCUUUGGGGCACAGUGAAUCCCCA